Molecule: ribosomal RNA, 384 nt
Filed under: uncultured bacterium
Lineage: Bacteria
Description: bacterial SSU rRNA
Rfam family: Bacterial small subunit ribosomal RNA
Source: RNAcentral
ACUCCUACGGGAGGCAGCAGUGGGGAAUAUUGCACAAUGGGGAAACCCUGAUGCAGCCAUGCCGCGUGUGUGAAGAAGGCCUCGGUUGUAAAGCACUUCAGUAGGGAGGAAGGUAGUGUAGUUAACACCUGCACUAUUUGUACGUUACCUACAGAAGAAGCACCGGCUAACUCCGUGCCAGCAGCCGCGGUAAUACGGAGGGGUGCGAGCGUUAAUCGGAAUUACUGGGCGUAAAGCGCAUGCAGGCGGCCUGUUAAGUCAGAUGUGAAAGCCCGGGGGCUUAACCUCGGAAUUGCAUUUGAAACUGGCAGGCUAGAGUCUUGUAGAGGGGGUAGAAUUUCAGGUGUAGCGGUGAAAUGCGUAGAGAUCUGAAGGAAUACCAGU